GCCGGGUGUGGUGGCACGUGCCUGUAGUCCCAGCUACUCGGGAGGCUGAGGUGCCGAGGAUCGCUUGAGCCCAGGAGUUCUGGGCUGUAGUGCGCUAUGCCGAUCGGGUGUUUGCACUAAGUUCGGCAUCAAUAUGGUGACCUCUCUGGAGAGGGGGGACCACCAGGUUGCCUAAGGAGGGGUGAACCGGCCCAGGUCGGAAAUGAAGCAGGUCAAAACUCCUGUGCUGAUCAGUAGUGGGAUCGCGCCUGUGAAUAGCCACUGCACUCCAGCCUGGGCAACAUGGCGAGACCCCAUCUCU
This 301-nucleotide signal recognition particle RNA is filed under the name Cebus imitator (Panamanian white-faced capuchin). Its description in RNAcentral is "Metazoan signal recognition particle RNA (ENSCCAG00000013137.1)". It matches the Rfam family "Metazoan signal recognition particle RNA". Rfam says of the family: The signal recognition particle (SRP) is a universally conserved ribonucleoprotein. It is involved in the co-translational targeting of proteins to membranes. Lineage: Eukaryota; Metazoa; Chordata; Mammalia; Primates; Cebidae. The record is from RNAcentral.